This is a small nucleolar RNA of Acomys russatus (golden spiny mouse), 140 nucleotides long. RefSeq annotates it as small nucleolar RNA SNORA70. The transcript has a single exon. The record is from RefSeq and is a predicted model, not a curated record. Lineage: Eukaryota; Metazoa; Chordata; Mammalia; Rodentia; Muridae.
GAGCAAGAACAAUUAAGCUGUCCGGGUAGGUCCCUUUCCUCAUGGGGGCCUGGUGUGCAGUAGUUGAAAACAGCAGGCUCCUAAGGGUGAAUACUCCCUGCUGCCUGUAUGGGUUGUCCCAAGGAAGCUUGGACGCAGUG